GAUGAACGCUAGCUACAGGCUUAACACAUGCAAGUCGAGGGGCAGCAUUACGGUAGCUUGCUACUGUAGAUGGCGACCGGCGCACGGGUGAGUAACGCGUAUCCAACCUGCCCAUGACUUGGGGAUAACCUUGCGAAAGCAAGCCUAAUACCCGAUACGCUUCAUAGAUGGCAUCUGAAAUGAAGUAAAGGUUUACGGUUAUGGAUGGGGAUGCGUCCGAUUAGCUUGUUGGCGGGGUAACGGCCCACCAAGGCAUCGAUCGGUAGGGGUUCUGAGAGGAAGGUCCCCCACAUUGGAACUGAGACACGGUCCAAACUCCUACGGGAGGCAGCAGUGAGGAAUAUUGGUCAAUGGAGGCAACUCUGAACCAGCCAAGUAGCGUGCAGGAUGACGGCCCUAUGGGUUGUAAACUGCUUUUAUGCGGGGAUAAAUUGACCCACGUGUGAGUUAUUGCAGGUACCGCAUGAAUAAGGACCGGCUAAUUCCGUGCCAGCAGCCG
Molecule: ribosomal RNA, 499 nt
Filed under: uncultured bacterium
Lineage: Bacteria
Description: bacterial SSU rRNA
Rfam family: Bacterial small subunit ribosomal RNA
Source: RNAcentral